RNAcentral lists this ribosomal RNA (484 nucleotides) under Bacillus pumilus. RNAcentral describes it as "bacterial SSU rRNA". It matches the Rfam family "Bacterial small subunit ribosomal RNA", at positions 28 to 495 of the family's 1533-position model. Lineage: Bacteria; Bacillati; Bacillota; Bacilli; Caryophanales; Bacillaceae. The record is from RNAcentral.
GACGAACGCUGGCGGCGUGCCUAAUACAUGCAAGUCGAGCGAACAGAAGGGAGCUUGCUCCCGGAUGUUAGCGGCGGACGGGUGAGUAACACGUGGGUAACCUGCCUGUAAGACUGGGAUAACUCCGGGAAACCGGAGCUAAUACCGGAUAGUUCCUUGAACCGCAUGGUUCAAGGAUGAAAGACGGUUUCGGCUGUCACUUACAGAUGGACCCGCGGCGCAUUAGCUAGUUGGUGGGGUAAUGGCUCACCAAGGCGACGAUGCGUAGCCGACCUGAGAGGGUGAUCGGCCACACUGGGACUGAGACACGGCCCAGACUCCUACGGGAGGCAGCAGUAGGGAAUCUUCCGCAAUGGACGAAAGUCUGACGGAGCAACGCCGCGUGAGUGAUGAAGGUUUUCGGAUCGUAAAGCUCUGUUGUUAGGGAAGAACAAGUGCGAGAGUAACUGCUCGCACCUUGACGGUACCUAACCAGAAAGCCACG